This 524-nucleotide ribosomal RNA is filed under the name Leuciscus aspius. RNAcentral describes it as "Aspius aspius partial 16S ribosomal RNA". It matches the Rfam family "Bacterial large subunit ribosomal RNA", at positions 1930 to 2606 of the family's 2925-position model. The record is from RNAcentral. Lineage: Eukaryota; Metazoa; Chordata; Actinopteri; Cypriniformes; Leuciscidae.
GCCGCGGUAUUUUGACCGUGCAAAGGUAGCGCAAUCACUUGUCUCUUAAAUAGAGACCUGUAUGAAUGGCUAGACGAGGGCUUAACUGUCUCCCCCCUCCGGUCAGUGAAAUUGAUCUAUCCGUGCAGAAGCGGGUGUAAUUAUACAAGACGAGAAGACCCUUUGGAGCUUAAGGUACAAAGUUCAACCACGUUAAACGACUCCGCACAAAGCAAGAACUUAAUGGAAAAUGAAAUUUUACCUUCGGUUGGGGCGACCACGGAGGAGAAAAGAGCCUCCGAGUGGAUUGGGCUAAAUCCCCAAAGCCAAGAGAUACAUUUAUAAGCCGCAGAACAUCUGACCAAAAAUGAUCCGGCUGAAAAGCCGAUCAACGAACCAAGUUACCCUAGGGAUAACAGCGCAAUCCUCUCCCAGAGUCCAUAUCGACGAGGGGGUUUACGACCUCGAUGUUGGAUCAGGACAUCCUAAUGGUGCAGCCGCUAUUAAGGGUUCGUUUGUUCAACGAUUAAAGUCCUACGUGAUCU